RNAcentral lists this ribosomal RNA (368 nucleotides) under Theileria luwenshuni. RNAcentral's name for it is "SSU rRNA". It matches the Rfam family "Eukaryotic small subunit ribosomal RNA", at positions 485 to 887 of the family's 1831-position model. Lineage: Eukaryota; Apicomplexa; Aconoidasida; Piroplasmida; Theileriidae. The record is from RNAcentral.
CUCCAUGCGCUUAUGUCUUGUAAUUGCGAAUGAUGGGAAUUUAAACCUCUUCCAGAGUAUCAAUUGGAGGGCAAGUCUGGUGCCAGCAGCCGCGGUAAUUCCAGCUCCAAUAGCGUAUAUUAAAAUUGUUGCAGUUAAAAAGCUCGUAGUUGAAUUUCUGCUGCAUUGCAUCUUCUUUUUGAUGAGUUGGUGUAUUGUGGCUUAUUUCGGAUGAUACUUGUAUUAUCCGGAUGAUUACUUUGAGAAAAUUAGAGUGCUCAAAGCAGGCUUUUGCCUUGAAUAGUUUAGCAUGGAAUAAUAAAGUAGGACUUUGGUUCUAUUUUGUUGGUUUUAGGUACCAAAGUAAUGGUUAAUAGAGCCAGUUGGGA